This 381-nucleotide small RNA is filed under the name Arabidopsis thaliana (thale cress). RNAcentral describes it as "ATSL302580". The record is from RNAcentral. Lineage: Eukaryota; Viridiplantae; Streptophyta; Magnoliopsida; Brassicales; Brassicaceae.
AAAUUCUUCGAAUUAAAUAUUUGACAUUUAACAAUUUUCCUAAAAUCUCUCUACAUUAACUACACGAUUGGUUAAUAAAAUAAAACUUUCAAAAUAUUUAAUAUCAUUUAAUUACUACAAAAUUAUCAUUAUUGAUAUUGUUUUUCUGCAUGACUAUUACAAUUCAAUUAUAAUCAUCAAACCGCAGAGAUAUUUGAUAGCAUUUAAUUACUACAAAAUUACAAAAUAUUUAGACAAUGAUUCAUAAACAUAUGAUAAAUAAGAUCAACAUUAAUAAAAUAAAUGAAUUUUUUUUACGGGACGGGUUAGCGGGACGGGUUAGCGGGACGGGUUUGGCAGGUUGUUACUUAAUAACAAUUCUAAACUAUAAAAUAAAAAUAU